GGCCCGCAUUGUAAUUUGUAGAGGAUGAUUCGGCGAGGGCUCCCGCCUAAGUCCCCUGGAACGGGGCGUCAUAGAGGGUGAGAAUCCCGUAUGCGGUGGGUUGCCUUAGCCAUGUGAAUCUCCUUCGACGAGUCGAGUUGUUUGGGAAUGCAGCUCUAAAUGGGAGGUAAAUUUCUUCUAAAGCUAAAUACCGGCCAGAGACCGAUAGCGCACAAGUAGAGUGAUCGAAAGAUGAAAAGCACUUUGGAAAGAGAGUUAAAAAGUACGUGAAAUUGUUGAAAGGGAAGGGCUUGCAACCAGACUUGUCCGCAGUUGCUCAACUGGUCUCCUGACCGGUGUACUCUUCUGCGGCCAGGCCAGCAUCAGUUCAGGCGGUCGGAUAAAGACCUUGGGAAUGUAGCUCCUCUCGGGGAGUGUUAUAGCCCAGGGUGGAAUGCGGCCAGCUUGGACUGAGGAUCUCGCUUCGGCAAGGAUGCUGGCGUAAUGGUUGUAAGCCGCCCGUCUUGAAACACGGACCAAGGAGUCUAACAUCUAUGCGAGUGUUUGGGUGUCAAACCCAUACGCGUAAUGAAAGUGAACGGAGGUGGGAACCCGCAAGGGUGCACCAUCGGCCGAUCCUGAUGUCUUCGGAUGGAUUUGAGCAAGAGCAUAGCUGUUGGGACCCGAAAGAUGGUGAACUAUGCCUGAAUAGGGUGAAGCCAGAGGAAACUCUGGUGGAGGCUCGCAGCGGUUCUGACGUGCAAAUCGAUCGUCAAAUUUGGGUAUAG
RNAcentral lists this ribosomal RNA (767 nucleotides) under Barriopsis archontophoenicis. RNAcentral describes it as "partial large subunit ribosomal RNA". It matches the Rfam family "Eukaryotic large subunit ribosomal RNA", at positions 135 to 920 of the family's 3401-position model. The record is from RNAcentral. Lineage: Eukaryota; Fungi; Ascomycota; Dothideomycetes; Botryosphaeriales; Botryosphaeriaceae.